This 375-nucleotide unclassified non-coding RNA is filed under the name Zea mays. RNAcentral describes it as "misc RNA Zm00001eb383480". Lineage: Eukaryota; Viridiplantae; Streptophyta; Magnoliopsida; Poales; Poaceae. The record is from RNAcentral.
CGGGUCGUCGCGGGCCCCAGCGGCGGCGGCGGCGCGGCCGGCGAUGGCGUAGCGGUACCAGCGCGCGAAGCAGUAGAAGAGGAAGACCUGGAUCGAGAAGCCGCCGGCGAAGGCGGCGGCGACGUCGCCAUAGUAGUCGUAGGCGAGGCGGGUGGCAAGGAGCAGCGUCAGGAAGGUGAAGGGCAGAUCCAGCCACGGGAGGUCCAUCGCCGCUGCGCCGCCGGCGAGGCCGCGCUCACCACCCGCGACCGCGAGCACCAGCGGGCUCAGCUAGCGAGGGGGAUCCAUGGAAGGAAAAACAGGACAGCUGGGAGAGAUUCCGUGGAAUGUCUAAUCACCGCACCAAAAUCUCGCCUUUUUCUGCGGGCAGGCAGG